RNAcentral lists this ribosomal RNA (423 nucleotides) under Triticum aestivum (bread wheat). RNAcentral describes it as "partial small subunit ribosomal RNA". The record is from RNAcentral. Lineage: Eukaryota; Viridiplantae; Streptophyta; Magnoliopsida; Poales; Poaceae.
AUGAAGGCUGGUAAAUUUCAAUCCACGAAGGAAAAAGCCCACAAAAUUUUAUCGGACUGGAUAGAAAAAUAUGCCUCAUGUGGGGCGAAAGAAACUUUGUUUAAAUCUGUCCUGCAGGCUCUUCCGGUGUAUGCAAUGGGUAUUUUUAAAUUUUCGGCAUUGCUAUGUGAAGAGUUGUCUCAGAUCAUAAGGAAUUUCUAGUGGGGUGAUGAGGAGAAUAGGAGAAAGACUCAUUAGCUGGCUUGGGAUAAGAUGACUAGGCCUAAAGGUGAGAGUGGUAUGGGUUUCCGGGACCUUAAAUUAUUUAACCAGGCUCUACUAGCUAAACAGGCCUGGAGAUUAGUGGUUAAUCCUGAAUCUCUUUGUGCCAAAGUGAUUAAGGCAAAAAAAAGUGGUCAUUAUGUUAUGAAAAGGAGGGAGUAG